This 454-nucleotide ribosomal RNA is filed under the name uncultured bacterium. RNAcentral's name for it is "bacterial SSU rRNA". It matches the Rfam family "Bacterial small subunit ribosomal RNA", at positions 28 to 490 of the family's 1533-position model. The record is from RNAcentral.
GACGAACGCUGGCGGCGUGCUUAACACAUGCAAGUCGAACGGUAAGGCCCUUCGGGGUACACGAGUGGCGAACGGGUGAGUAACACGUGGGUGAUCUGCCCUGCACUUCGGGAUAAGCUUGGGAAACUGGGUCUAAUACCGGAUAGGACCACGGUCUGCAUGGAUUGUGGUGGAAAGCUUUUGCGGUGUGGGAUGGGCCCGCGGCCUAUCAGCUUGUUGGUGGGGUGAUGGCCUACCAAGGCGACGACGGGUAGCCGGCCUGAGAGGGUGUCCGGCCACACUGGGACUGAGAUACGGCCCAGACUCCUACGGGAGGCAGCAGUGGGGAAUAUUGCACAAUGGGCGCAAGCCUGAUGCAGCGACGCCGCGUGGGGGGAUGACGGCCUUCGGGUUGGUUAAACCGUACCUUUCUAGCAGGGACGAAGGGUGGACGUGACGGUACCUGUAGAAGAAG